ACCAAUACUGGGGAUUAAUAUGUUCCUUUUAGUUUAAUGGCACGGACGCAAUAUGAAUAUUGUGGUUAUAUCCUGAUUACUAACUUUUACUCUGUGUUACUUAAUCCUGGAAACGCCACAUAAAUGU
This is a small nucleolar RNA of Impatiens glandulifera, 127 nucleotides long. The record is from RefSeq and is a predicted model, not a curated record. NCBI's taxonomy places the organism in Eukaryota, Viridiplantae, Streptophyta, Magnoliopsida, Ericales, Balsaminaceae.